RNAcentral lists this small nuclear RNA (166 nucleotides) under Lepeophtheirus salmonis (salmon louse). Its description in RNAcentral is "U1 spliceosomal RNA". It matches the Rfam family "U1 spliceosomal RNA". Rfam says of the family: U1 is a small nuclear RNA (snRNA) component of the spliceosome (involved in pre-mRNA splicing). Its 5' end forms complementary base pairs with the 5' splice junction, thus defining the 5' donor site of an intron. Lineage: Eukaryota; Metazoa; Arthropoda; Copepoda; Siphonostomatoida; Caligidae. The record is from RNAcentral.
AUACUUACCUGGCUAGAAGGUUAACCGUGAUCAAUAAGGCGGUUCCUUAGGGGUGAGGGCCUUCCAUUGCACAUCGGUAGGCUUGACCUCCUCCAUUAUCCCAAAUGUGGAUAACUGGAUAGCAUAAUUUCUGUUAGUGGGGGAUCUGCGUGCGCGCUAAUCCCCU